RNAcentral lists this long non-coding RNA (1377 nucleotides) under Anser cygnoides (Swan goose). RNAcentral describes it as "lncRNA (ENSACDG00005017077.1)". Lineage: Eukaryota; Metazoa; Chordata; Aves; Anseriformes; Anatidae. The record is from RNAcentral.
AUGUUUCUCAGCUGGAGCCAUCGAAGAUGGGUUUGUCCCACGAUGGCAGGCAAGGCCCGUGCCAUGCCGGCUGAGCUCCACAGCCUCCACGUGCACGUUCACGGCCCUCAGGAGGAGGCAGCGCCUCCAAGGCACGACUCAGGGCCUGGCACAAGAUGGCAGCUGGGGCCAGCCCUGGGGGCCAGGGCCCGCAGGGGGUCUGCGGUGUCCCUGGCGGGGUGGGCAGCCUCCAGCAGGCCUGGAGAGCCGAGCAGCCCCGAAAGAGCUCCCCGGGGCCGGGGAAGUUUCCUGUUUGCUGCCCGCGCUGAAGCAUCGGCCCCGCAACCGCUGCCGGGCCCGCGCUUCCGGCCGGGGCUCCCGCCCGGAGCCCCCCUGCACUAUCAGCUCGCCAGAUGCCUUUUUCAGGAUACUGUGGUAAAACUGUGCCGGGCAGGCGCUGUCAUUUGGGGUUUUCUCUCGUGUCAGCCUCGAAGACAAAUUGGGCAAGGAGGAGCAAGAGGGGAAAGAAAAAAUAAAAUUAAAAAAAAAAUAAUAAAUAGAAGAAAGGAAGAUGCCGGCUGCCAUCCGUCGGCGGGGCCGGCCCGCGUGGCGGCGUGGCGAUGGGUCCCCCAAGCGGCGUGGCGGCGGUGGGCAGCGUGGUGGCAGGACCGGGCGGCCGCCAUGGCGGCAUGGCCUCCCCGGGCGCUGUCGGCCUCUAGUGGCGGCGGUGGCCGCGUGGUGUCAUGGCGGUGCUGCAGGCCCCGUGGGUCCCAGCAGCGCCACGGGGCCUUCUGCCUUCCCUCCUGGUGGGGCUGUCUGUUCUGGAUGUGGCCUCUGGGUGCUGCCACCUCCAGAACGUCAUCCUCCACCAGGACAUCAUCCUCCACCAGGACUCUGUCAUCCACCAGGACGUCGUCCUCCACCGUGAUACCAUCAUUCAUCAUCCAUCACCCUCCAGAGGGACGUGGCCCACCCUGCGAUGACAAGGGAGCAGGAGCACUAUGCACCUGCCUGUCCCCAUGUAGCACCCAGCAGCACCCAGAUAGGACAGGGUGCCCCAAAGCACCUGCAGUGCCCUCAUGGCUGCUGCUCUGGGGCCGCCUGGUGGUGUUGGGCAUCCACCGUACCGGGCAGACUGGGAGCUGGUGGUGGGAAGGCAGCGGUGACAGUGCAGGGAAAUCUGUCUGUCUGCGGAGCUGCGCAGGGGCCUGUCAGAGCCACCGUGGAGCUGGGGGGGCCCACAGGCUGGCACAAGCAUGGUUUCCACUGUGGGAGAGCAGAGAGAGCCCAGGAGAAGAUGUCCUUGGGGACCCAGAGGUCCAGAAGUGCCAGCCGUCCUACAGCAGAGCAGUAGACGGUGUGAAUUGGUGGCACUGGGGACAGUGGGGACAGCAGUGA